Molecule: ribosomal RNA, 466 nt
Filed under: uncultured bacterium
Lineage: Bacteria
Description: partial 16S ribosomal RNA
Rfam family: Bacterial small subunit ribosomal RNA
Source: RNAcentral
GAUGAACGCUGGCGGCGUGCUUAACACAUGCAAGUCGAACGAUGAAGCCCAGCUUGCUGGGUGGAUUAGUGGCGAACGGGUGAGUAACACGUGAGUAACCUGCCCUUGACUCUGGGAUAAGCCCGGGAAACUGGGUCUAAUACCGGAUAGGAGCGCCUGUCGCAUGACGGGUGCUGGAAAGAUUUGUCGGUCAUGGAUGGACUCGCGGCCUAUCAGCUUGUUGGUGAGGUAAUGGCUCACCAAGGCGACGACGGGUAGCCGGCCUGAGAGGGUGACCGGCCACACUGGGACUGAGAGACGGCCCAGACUCCUACGGGAGGCAGCAGGGGGGAAUAUUGCACAAUGGGCGGAAGCCUGAUGCAGCGACGCCGCGGGAGGGAUGACGGCCUUCGGGUUGUAAACCUCUUUCAGUAGGGAGGAAGCGGAAGUGACGGUACCUGCAGAAGAAGCACCGGCUAACUACGUG